CGGCCGCGGAGCCGGGAGAGCGGGACCGGGCGCGCGGAGCCGGGAGCCGGGAGCACGGGGCGCCGGCCGGCGGGGCCGAGGCGGCCGAGCCCCGAGCCGGGCCCGCAGACCUAGGCGCGUGGCCCCCCGCCCGACCCCGACCCGGCCCCGACCCCGCGGCGGCCCGGGCGGGCGGGCGGGCGAGCGCGGCCGGAGGAUGUCGGCGGGCGGCCGCGAUGAGGAGCGGCGGAAGCUGGCCGACAUCAUCCAGCACUGGAACGCCAACCGGCUGGACCUGUUCGAGAUCAGCCAGCCCACCGAGGAUUUGGAGUUCCAUGGAGUGAUGAGAUUUUAUUUUCAAGAUAAAGCUGCUGGGAACUUUGCAACAAAAUGUAUCCGGGUCUCUAGUACCGCCACCACUCAGGACGUGCUGGAAACGCUCGCAGAGAAAUUCCGCCCUGACAUGCGGAUGUUGUCCUCACCCAAGUACUCGCUCUACGAAGUGCACGUCAGCGGAGAAGAAAGAAGAUUGGAUAUAGACGAGAAACCCCUUGUUGUGCAGUUGAAUUGGAAUAAGGAUGAUCGAGAGGGCAGAUUUGUUCUUAAGAAUGAGAACGACGCCAUUCCUGCUAAGAAGGCUCAGAGUAACGGACCUGAAAAGCAGGAAAAAGAAGGUGUUAUCCAGAACUUCAAGAGAACUCUCUCAAAGAAAGAAAAGAAGGAAAAAAAGAAGAGAGAAAAAGAGGCAAUGAGGCAGGCGUCUGAUCGAGACGAUAGACCCUUCCAUGGGGAUGACACUGAAAAUUCUCGACUGGCUGCUGAGGUUUACAAAGACAUGCCUGAAACUAGCUUUACCAGAACAAUUUCUAAUCCCGAGGUGGUUAUGAAACGACGGAGACAACAAAAACUGGAAAAGAGAAUGCAGGAAUUUCGGAGCUCAGAUGGGCGGCCUGAUUCAGGUGGAACAUUGAGAAUUUAUGCAGAUAGUUUAAAACCAAAUAUUCCCUACAAGACGAUCCUGCUGUCUACCACAGAUCCUGCAGACUUUGCUGUGGCUGAGGCUUUAGAGAAGUACGGUCUGGAGAGAGAAAACCCUAAGGAUUAUUGCAUUGCCCGCGUUAUGCUUCCUCCUGGGGCUCAGCAUUCUGAUGAGAAGGCUGCUGAAGAAAUUAUCCUUGAUGAUGAUGAGUGUCCUUUACAGAUCUUCAGGGAGUGGCCGAAUGACAGAGGGAUUUUAGUAUUUCAGCUGAAAAGGAGGCCACCAGACUACAUCCCAAAGAAAAGCCAGAAGCACGUGGAUGGGAAGCCCCUGCACGGAAAGGAGCGAGUUGAUGGGUCUGGCUACGGCUCUGCACUCCCGCCGGAGAAACUGCCCUACCUCGUAGAGCUGAGCCCAGAUGGCUCCGACUCCAGAGACAAGCCGAAGCUCUACCGCCUUCAGCUGAGUGUCACUGAGGUCGGGACGGAGAAGUUCGACGACGGCUCCAUCCAGUUGUUUGGUUCAGGAAUUGAGCCCCAUCACUGUGACCUCACAAACAUGGAUGGAGUGGUCACGGUCACGCCGAGAAGCAUGGAUGCCGAGACCUACGUGGACGGGCAGCGCAUCUCGGAGACAACGAUGCUGCACAGCGGGAUGAAGGUGCAGUUUGGGGCGUCCCAUGUGUUUAAGUUCGUGGACCCCAGCCAGGACCACGCUCUGCCCAAGAGAUCCGUGGAUGGAGGCCUGAUGGCGAAGGGUCCCAGACAAAGGCCUGGAAUUGUUCAGGAGACAACUUUUGAUUUAGGAGGAGAUGUUCAUAGUGGAACAGCAUUACCAGCGAGCAAGAGCUCCUCCAGGCUGGACGGCGACAGGGGGCUGUCUGCCGCCAGCACCGCCGAGCGAGGGAUGGUGAAGCCCGUGGUCAGAGUGGAGCAGCUGCCGGACUACCGCAGGCAAGAGAGCAGAACUCAGGACACUCCUGGGCCUGACCUAAUACUGCCUGCAAGCAUUGAAUUCAGGGAAAGUUCUGAAGAUUCAUUUUUAUCCGCCAUUAUAAAUUACACUAAUAGCUCUACAGUCCAUUUUAAGUUGUCACCUACGUACGUGUUAUAUAUGGCGUGUCGGUAUGUAUUGUCCAGCCAGUACAGACCCGAUGUCAGUCCCGCAGAACGGACACACAAAGUGAUUGCCAUUGUCAACAAGAUGGUGAGCAUGAUGGAAGGGGUCAUUCAGAAACAGAAGAAUAUUGCAGGGGCACUUGCUUUCUGGAUGGCAAACGCAUCUGAGCUUCUCAACUUCAUAAAGCAGGACCGAGAUCUUAGUCGAAUCACGUUGGACGCCCAGGAUGUUCUAGCACACUUGGUUCAAAUGGCCUUUAAAUACCUGGUUCACUGUCUUCAGUCAGAACUGAAUAAUUACAUGCCAGCCUUUCUGGACGACCCCGAAGAGAACAGUCUGCAAAGACCAAAAAUAGACGACGUGCUGCACACGCUCACGGGGGCCAUGUCGCUGCUGCGCCGCUGCCGGGUCAACGCUGCGCUGACCAUCCAGCUCUUCUCCCAGCUCUUCCACUUCAUCAACAUGUGGCUGUUCAACAGGCUGGUGACCGACCCCGAGUCGGGGCUGUGCUCCCACUACUGGGGCGCCAUCAUCCGCCAGCAGCUCGGGCACGUGGAGGCCUGGGCGGAGAAGCAGGGCUUGGAGCUGGCAGCCGACUGUCACCUCAGCAGGAUCGUGCAGGCAACCACUUUGCUCACGAUGGAUAAGUACGCACCCGAUGACAUCCCAAAUAUAAACAGUACCUGCUUCAAGUUAAAUUCACUGCAACUUCAAGCCUUACUUCAGAAUUACCACUGUGCACCCGAUGAGCCUUUUGUCCCUACAGACCUGAUGGAGCAUGUGGUGGCUGUGGCAGAGAACACAGCCGACGAGCUGGCACGCAGUGACGGGCGGGAGGUGCAGCUGGAGGAGGACCCCGACCUGCAGCUGCCGUUCCUUCUGCCCGAGGAUGGCUACUCCUGCGACGUCGUCAGAAACAUCCCGAACGGCUUACAGGAGUUUCUGGACCCUUUGUGCCAGAGAGGAUUUUGCAGGUUAAUUCCUCACCCACGUUCACCAGGCACUUGGACAAUAUAUUUCGAAGGUGCAGAUUAUGAGAGUCACCUUAUGCGGGAGAACACAGAACUGGCUCAGCCUCUGAGGAAAGAACCUGAAAUAAUCACGGUGACCCUCAAAAAGCAGAACGGAAUGGGCCUUAGCAUUGUCGCAGCAAAGGGUGCUGGUCAAGACAAGCUGGGAAUCUACGUCAAGUCUGUUGUAAAAGGAGGUGCUGCUGAUGUGGACGGGCGGCUGGCUGCAGGUGACCAGCUCCUCAGCGUGGACGGACGGAGUCUGGUAGGACUCUCUCAAGAAAGGGCAGCAGAACUGAUGACGAGGACAAGCUCCGUGGUGACGCUGGAAGUAGCCAAGCAAGGAGCCAUUUAUCACGGUCUGGCUACCCUGCUCAAUCAGCCGUCCCCCAUGAUGCAGAGAAUUUCAGAUCGUCGCGGAUCAGGUAAACCCCGACCAAAGAGUGAAGGUUUUGAGCUCUAUAAUAAUUCAGCUCAAAACGGGUCCCCGGAGAGCCCUCAGAUGCCUUGGGCAGAAUACAGUGAACCAAAGAAAUUGCCCGGCGACGACAGGCUCAUGAAGAACAGGGCUGACCACCGCUCCAGCCCCAACGUCGCAAAUGAGCCCCCUAGUCCCGGCGGGAAAGGCGCCUACGCCUCUGGGACAGCGGCCAAGAUAACGUCCGUCUCCACUGGAAACCUCUGUGCUGAGGAGCAGACCCCUCCACCCCGAGCCGAGGCCUACCCCAUCCCGACGCAGACCUACACCAGGGAGUACUUCACCUUCCCGGCCUCCAAGUCCCAGGACCGCACGGCUCCUCCUCAGGACCAGUGGCCCCGAUAUGAGGAGAAGCCCCACGUGCACACGGACAGCAGCCACUCCAGCACUGCAGUCCAGCGUGUGACCCGGUCCCAGGAGGAACUCCGGGAGGAUGUCGGGUUCCACCUGGAACGGCAGAGGGUGGAGGCGGCGAUGGAGCGCAGGUCUGACGGCGGCGACGCGUGGCUCAACCAGGGCUCCUCGCUGGGCUCCAGCGCGUCCAGCCAGGAGCACCUGGGCCCCCCCUCCAGGGCGGGCACCCCCGCGUCCACGCUCACCAAGAGCGGCCCUGGGCGCUGGAAGACCCCAGCCGCCUCCCCGCCGGUGCGGACCGACCCGCCCCCCGGGCACUACGGCGCCGGCGACGGGGACAGCGUCCCCGCGGACUCGCCCCUCCCGCCCCCUCCCACCGGGGCCCAGGUGGCCGCAGAGCGGAAGAAGCGGGAGGAGCAGCAGCGCUGGUACGAGAAGGAAAAGGCGCGCCUGGAGGAGGAGCGCGAGCGCCGGCGGCGGGAGCAGGAGCGCAGGCUGGGCCAGCUGCGGGCGCAGGCACCGCCCCCCGGGGCCCCGCCCCCCGGGCCCGCGGCCCCGCCCCCAGGGCCCGCCCCCGCCCGCGCCCCGGACACCGUCAUCCGGGAGCUGCAGCCCCAGCAGCAGCCGCGCACCAUCGAGCGCCGGGACCUGCAGUACAUCACGGUCAGCAGGGAGGAGCUGGCCUCGGGGGACAGCCUGUCCCCCGACCCCUGGAAGCGGGAUGCGCGGGAGAAGCUGGAGAAGCAGCAGCAGCUGCACAUCGUGGACCUGCUGAGCCGCGAGAUCCAGGAGCUGCAGGGCAAGGCCGAGCGCUCGGCCGAGGAGAGCGACCGCCUGCGCAAGCUCAUGCUGGAGUGGCAGUUCCAGAAGCGGCUGCAGGAGUCCAAGCAGAAGGACGAGGACGACGAGGAGGAGGAGGACGACGACGUGGACACCGUGCUGCUCAUGCAGCGCCUGGAGGCCGAGCGCAGAGCGCGGCAGACUGCUAUGCCAGCAAUCUCUGUUCUAGAUUUGUUGCAGGACGAGGAGCGGCGGCGGCAGCAGCAGCUGGAGGAGAUGCGGACCCGGGAGGCUGAGGAGCGGGCCCGGCAGGAGGAGCAGAGGGCCAGACGCGAGGCCGAAGAGAAGGUCCUGGGCCCCUGAGGGCUCGGGGUGCGCGGCUGAGGGGCCCGGGACGCGCAGGGGGGCCGCUGCUGAUCCUGGAGCCCCGUCGGCCGGCCCGGCCCCCUUCCUGCCCUCUGAGCUGUCAUCCCCUUCCCCUCCGGGCUGUCCCCCCUCCCCCUUCUCCUCCGGGCUGUCCCCCCUCCCCCUUCCCCUCCGGGCUGUCCCCCCUCCCCCUUCCCCUCCGGGCUGUCCCCCGAGUCUUGUCACUCAAGCUUGUGGACUGUGGGGCCUCUGUGUGCUCGGGGCUCUGGUCUUUGCUGGACAGGGUCCAGCUUGUCACUGUGAAGGUGACAAGUGUCCAGUUCACAGGGAGGUCGGGCCGUGGGAAGGACAGGAAACUAGGAAGUCACUGUUAACCUUAAGGAUUUUAAAUAGGUUAUCUUAUGACUUAAUUCUGGUCAGUGGUAAAGAGAGCAAAUGGCUUGUAGAAAACACGGUAGAAGGAAAUUUAAUUUAGUGUGUAAUCUGGUAGGUAUUCUGAGUUAUUGCUUUGUUUCCAUAUGUGGGAUUCUGAGAUUCAGGUAAUCCUUUUAAUUGCUUUUAACAUGACAGCACAGUUGAGCUCCCCUGAGAAAUGGGCGCUUGGUGACGCCGCCCUCCAGGCCCUGCCGUCUGUGGGCGCGUCGCCGCGGCUCUGGGCUCGCUUCCGGGUCCGUCCAGGGCCGGCCGGUCCCUGGACGAGGUGUGGGAGAAGCUGGCCUUCCGUUACUUCCCUUCUGUGAAGGCGGGAGCUCUGAGGUCACGGCUCCUGGUGGGAAAAGUCCAGCGAGCGCCCCCACAGCACACCCUGCAGGAGGAAGCUUGGGGGGCUCUGGUAGUGAUGGGAUCUUUGGGGACGCAACAGGCGGAGAGUAAGACGGUGGGAGUGACGGAUGACUCGGUUAAACGCGAGCCAGGUAGAUGCCGUGGGCACACCUGCACGGCAACGAGCCACGUCUACAGUCCGUUGGCCGUUCCCGUUGCCGUCAUCGUGCCGUGGGCCGUGCCUGAGGAGGGGCGCCGUUCCCAGCGUGGGGUUUCGUGGCGAGGCUCCCCUCGAGCCUGUCAAAGUCGGCAGUGCGUCUAAGGAAAUGGGGUUUCCACAGUUUGAGCCACUAGACCGGGUUUUACAGUGUCGGUCGUGCUGCUGUCCCGGGGCUGCUCGCAGGGGUGUGCCGUCCCGCCUCGGCCCGAGCCCCCGGCCACCUGGGAGCAGUGCCCGCGGGGAGGCGGCCAGGCCGUGUCCUCCACGCCGGGAAACUCCUGGGUUAUUUGACUUUUUUCCAGUGUGCGUUCUCACAAUUUGUGAUUAUGUCAGAUGCACCUGUGUGUGGGUAACUGCUUCUAUAAUUGAGCGCUCAGUGUAAAAAGAAGCCGAAUAACCUAUUUUUUAUAGAGAGUGUCCAAAAUUGAUGGGUUUGCUCUGUCAUAGGAAAACGUGCCGUUCACUUUUUGGGUAGAAUGAAGUCUUCUCGGUUCAUGGGACUGUAUACCUGCUCUUAGUGUCACUGAAAGAACAUGUUUUGGUUUCCCUAAAAUGUUACCAAGUGAGCUUUGUUCACAUAAUACUAAGAUUCCUCACAACUCCACUUAAACUCUGCAGAGGUCAUUCCAGAUUUAAUUCCCUACUCUAAGAGAACGCUCAUUUUGUGUAGAACAUAAGGUAGAAAUGUUUUUCCUUCAGGGUGUCUCAACGUAGUGUAAGAAGAUAAAGUGAGGAGUGGGGCCCAGGGCCAGGACUGAGGCUGGCAUUUGUUCUUAGUGUUUUCUCCCUCAGAGGGUGAAGCUUUGCCCACUGUGUACUCGUGUGCGGGGGGGGGGGGAGUAGGGGAGACACAGCGUGCGAAGUGAGUGGGGUCUGCAGACUUCAGCCCUAGUGCCAGCAAGGCCCCACAGUUAGUCACCUUCCACUGAAUGAAUUUGAAGUCCGCUGUGCUUCCAUUCUGUACAUUGAGCAUUGUACACUGAACACUCCUCAAGUGAAGGCAGAUCAUUCUGUUUCAGCUUUCAUCUCCUUUCUUCUUCACUUUUUUCUGUGUUCUGAAACUUCUGUCAAUCUUUAACAAAACUGUGCUGUUACCUUUUUCAAUGUUAAAUUAACACUGUCAACUGUAGUUUGUGCAGCUAUAUGUCAGAAAAAAUGUACAGUCUGUCAAAAUAUAUUUGAAUAUCUUGUUGCCUGGCUCUCUCAGUUUUCUGUCUGGCAGGGAGUUUAUUAAGAUUUGAAAUACCAAUUAAGAACCGUGGAAAGCAUAUUGGUUGCUUGUGACCUUGGAGAGAUGAGUAAUGUUUUUUACAGUUCGGGGUUUCCUAUUCACUUCCCUCUGAAUGCCUAGAAGUCAGCCAGGUGAUGUAAUCACGUCCUUCUUGUCAAGGAAGGACCGCCCUUCUGAGUUGACCGGGGCUCGGUGGGAAAGCACGCAGGGCUGCACUGCUGGCAGUGCCAGCUGUAGAAGGGCACUUGCAGCCUAGUUUUGGUGUGCCUUUGUCUUUCAACUCGGGAGUAACAGAGGCGACAGGAGGAGGGGUAUUACAGCCGCCUGGAGGCCGAGCGGCGCCGACAGCACGACGAGGCCGAGCGCCAGCUGCUGGAGCCCGAGGAGCUGGGCCUGGGCCGCCCUCCGCUCCCGCGGGGCUACGAG
RNA transcript from Physeter macrocephalus (sperm whale), 7704 nucleotides. It is a transcript of the gene named afadin, adherens junction formation factor, with no coding region annotated. The record is from RefSeq and is a predicted model, not a curated record. The transcript is spliced from 31 exons. NCBI's taxonomy places the organism in Eukaryota, Metazoa, Chordata, Mammalia, Artiodactyla, Physeteridae.